RNAcentral lists this ribosomal RNA (377 nucleotides) under uncultured eukaryote. RNAcentral's name for it is "partial 18S ribosomal RNA". It matches the Rfam family "Eukaryotic small subunit ribosomal RNA", at positions 592 to 976 of the family's 1831-position model. The record is from RNAcentral.
CAAUAGCGUAUAUUAAAGUUGUUGCGGUUAAAAAGCUCGUAGUUGGAUUUCUGCAUGGAAGGAGCGGUCCACCCAUUGGGCGCGUACGGCUACCUUUGAUGCAUCUUUCUGAGGACGUGUUCUUCACUUAAUUGUGAGGGCGCAGGACUCAGGACAUUUACUUUGAGGAAAUGAGAGUGUUUCAAGCAGGCAAAUGCCUUGAAUACGUUAGCAUGGAAUAAUAGCAUCGGACCAUCGUCCAGCUGUUGGUGUCUGGGCGAAGGUAAAGGUGAAUAGGGAUUGUUGGGGGCAUUCGUAUUUAACUGUCAGAGGUGAAAUUCUUGGAUUUGUUGAAGACGGACCACUGCGAAAGCAUCUGCCAUGGAUGUUUUCAUUGA